This 74-nucleotide transfer RNA is filed under the name Fidelibacterota bacterium. RNAcentral's name for it is "tRNA-Pro". It matches the Rfam family "tRNA". Rfam says of the family: Transfer RNA (tRNA) molecules are approximately 80 nucleotides in length. Their secondary structure includes four short double-helical elements and three loops (D, anti-codon, and T loops). The record is from RNAcentral. Lineage: Bacteria; Pseudomonadati; Fidelibacterota.
CGGGAUGUGGCGUAGUCCGGUAGCGCACUUGACUGGGGGUCAAGGGGUCGCAAGUUCAAAUCUUGCCAUUCCGA